This 469-nucleotide ribosomal RNA is filed under the name uncultured archaeon. Its description in RNAcentral is "bacterial SSU rRNA". It matches the Rfam family "Archaeal small subunit ribosomal RNA", at positions 1 to 444 of the family's 1478-position model. The record is from RNAcentral.
UUCCGGUUGAUCCUGCCGGACCCCACUGCUAUCGGGAUAGGACUAAGACAUGCAAGUCAAGCGCUUUCUAGCUAAUGUGAGAGCGCGGCGUACAGCUCAGUAACACGUGGCCAACCUGCCCUUGGGACGGGAACACCCCCGGGAAACUGGGGUUAAUUCCCGAUAGGUGAAGAAGUCUGGAAUGACUCUUCGCUCAAAAGACGUUUAUGUCAUGCUCAUAUUCGUCGCCCAGGGAUGGGGCCGCGACCGAUCAGGUUGUUGGUGAGGCAAUGGCUCACCAAGCCUUUUACCGGUGCGGGCCGUGAGAGCGGGAGCCCGGAGAUGGGCACUGAGACAAAGGCCCAGGCCCCACGGGGCGCAGCAGUCGCGAAAAUUUUGCAAUACACGAAAGUGUGACAGAGCUAUCCCGAGUGCCAUCCGCUGAGGAAGGCUUUUUACCCAGUAUAAAUAGCUGGGAGAAUAAGGAGAG